CCCGUGUCCGCACACCCCCGCCCGGCCCCGGCGCUGCCGCCGUCCCCCCCGGCCCCGCCGCCUCUCGGAAGGAUGCGCUGCGCCUCCAGAGUCUGGCAGAACUAGAAGUCCUUUGUAAGCACCUGGAUGAAGGAACUGAUCCAGCACAGGAAUGCAAGCUGAGAAGGUCCUCUUGGAGCUUAUCAAGAGCCCUGGAUGCCUCAGCCAAUGCCAGCUUCUCCUGGAACAAGGAACACUCAGUGUUUGGGGGAUGUGUUAUCCAUAAAGGUCAUCGUGCUCGUGGAAGCUCAUGUAGAUUUCUCAGUCAUGGGGCAUUACCAGGGCACUGUGGACCAUUGUGUAACAGGAGUGAUUCUCUCAGAGCUGACUCAGGAAAUGGAUCUGCUCUUGGCAAAACCUUUAAACCCUCAGGACCAACAGCAGCAAACCUAGUGACUUUUGAAGCAACUUUUGAAGCUUGUACUGAACUGUCUUAAUUUGGAUUUCAUUGGGAAUUCAGCUGAUGAAUCUGCAGAUGAGCUGUGCACUGUGCAAAUUCCAACCAACUGGACAGCAAGACAGCUGGCAUGGCUUGUCUGCCUCAUGGGUAGUUUGGGGGAGGACAAUGAACAUACACCAGUACUGAGGAGCACAAUGCCAUAAGUGGAGAAUUAUCCUGUUGAGUUUUCGGGAUGCUCUCUCUGAUGGAUGCCCAGUUACCCCAGCAUAAAAAUGAAAAAGUUGAACUGGCAGUUCUGUGGUUCUUGGAUCAGUUCUGUAAAACACAUGUGAGAGCCCAGCUUCAGCAAAGUUCCACCUCUGGUCUUCCAUAUCAUCGAAGUGUUCCUGCUUGGUGACCUCUCCUGUGCUGACAACCCAACUGAAGGCAGUUGUUGUCUUCCCCUUCUGAGGAAGGCAUGUCCUUUGAAAGGUAUAUGCCCAAAUGUCAGAAAUCUUGGGGAUAACAGGUGACAACCAUGUUCUGGAAGCAUUUAUGACAAAAAUACUCACAGAGGAGGAUCCUAAGGCCUCACACUGAAGGAGACACACAAGAGGCAUUGUCAUCUUCUGUCUUCACAUCUCUGGCAUUUGGCAGAAUAACUUGGUGUGUUAUUUUGGCUGAUACUUAUUGCUUCUGUAGGAUUCAGAACACUUUCAGAAUCCCCAUGAAAUGUAACACAGGCACCUGACUGCAAGUGCUUGCCCAGUUACUCCUGGAAGUGUGUUUGCUGACAGAACCAGCCUGCCAUUGCUGCUACAGCCAGCAAGCAUUCAGCAUUUCCUGUUGUCUUCUGGAGGCUUGCAAAGGUGAAGAUGAGGAUGAGUUUGAGAAUUUCAUGCUCCCCCUCACAGUUUGAUUUGAAAGUGUGGCUCAGACACUCAACAGUAGUUUUGAACAAGAAGAAACAAAGGAAAAAAUUUCCAGUAUUAAAACAGUGCCUAAUUUUCUAAUAAGAAUAUCAAGAUUUCUCCUGACAACGUGGGUAAGUAAUCUAUUGCCUGGGCAGCCGGAAUCUCAGUAGUACUUUGCUUGUAGUUGUGACAUCAUCGGAUUUGCUAGAAACGCAUGGAAAAGGGAACUGAAGAAAAAGCAGUUAAAUAGCAACAUGCUAUCUUUAGCUGGUUUGUAGAAACUCCAUGCUGUUAAAUUAUUUAAAAUCCUUGAUUUUCAGCUUGCACACAUUAAAAGUUUUCACACUAAGUGCCAAAUGUUGCAAACAGCACUUUAACAGAAUGAUUUUGCUUUGAUCCCUGUAGCAGUUCCUGAAUAAUUUAUCACAGGUUAUUGCCUUAAUUCUGGAGAGGGAUAGAGCAAUAAAGGCAGAUGAAAACACUCCAGUUGAAACACCUUGGGGCCUGCUCAUUCCUCUGACACGGCUCUUUUGUUGGAACUAUUUAGAGGUUAUUAAGAUGUGUCUCCAGAAUUAAGAGUAUGCUGUAAGGAUGAAGACAGCCAUCUUAAUUCUAAAGACAAAGCACAAUGACCCUUCACCUUUUUUUUCCUUUGUUGUUAUUAUAUAGUAGAAUUAUGAGGGUAAUAUUAUAGCUGCACCCAGUAGUGCCACUAUGGUUAAGGGUCUGUCAGACUUUCCAUUACCAGCCCUGUUUUGGGGGUGGUGGGUGUGAGCAGGCUCGUCUGUUUUAGAUGGCCUCAGUCAGACACUUGGCACAUGUUGGCAAGUCAUAGGGGCUUUUCUGGGAAUAUUUACAUCUUCAGCUCCUUUUCCUUGAAAAAAAAUCUGUUGAAAAAUGUGCUUCAGGACUUUGAAACAAAAUACUUGAAUUUGUUUUUUAAAUGGCUUUGUUGUAAUUAAAUCUUAAGGAAACCUAUCAGUGACAUUCAGGGAAGGAUAUUCUGAAGCUGAAAUUUGAACAAAAUUGCUUCAUUAGCGAGAAGAGCACUGUAUAAACCCACAGAAUGCUGGCAAGCUCCUCUUGGUGCGUUUCCUGCAUUUCCUGUUCCUUACUCCUCCUCUCACUCUGUUGGCCACUGCUGGUGGUGCCAUUUGCUGUCCCAUUGCCCCAGAAAAGGCUGAGAUGCAGCUGGGAAGGACGCAGCAGCCUCGGGUUUUCCUCCCAUCACUGGGAAGUUUCUGGAUCCCACGGGAUGACAAACAAAAAGUAGAUGUAUAAGCGUGUAAUCCUGUUUGUCAUUAAUAAAUUUUAUGCACGUAAGUGCUAUUUGAUUACUUACAAUGGUCUAAAACUAGAUUCUCUUGGGAUUUUAGGAGUUUGGGGAGAAGGUUCUUCCUGAAUGUGAGGUAAGCAAGCAUGGAAUCUAGGGUGAUUUUUGCUCCUGUUAGAGUUUAAGGGUAUUUUGUACCAGUGAGUUAAGUGGAUCAGGAUUUAUUUCAGGAUUCUAGUGUCUAUUCCAUGGGCUGUUCAUCCUGUGCUGGCUGUGGCAGUGUUAUCUUACACAGCUGAGUUCUGAUGGAUCCUAUCUAAACCACUGGUUUGCUGGGGUUUUACAGGACAAGAGUAUUAGAUCUAAAUCCUAGAUCUUGUAGAUUGAGGUCAUUUAUUAAGAAGCGUAGUUAUGGGCUUUUUAUUAACAGUAUCUCAAUUUAAAUAAUAGAAAACCAAAAAAUGUAGUUUAUGUGGUAGUUGUUCUUUCAUUAGAAUUCGAGGUCCAGUGGUGUCUGAAGCUGCCUAGUGUUUGUACAGGUUCCCAGAAACCUGGGACCACAGUUCAAAGAAAGUUGGACAUCUACUUUUAUUAAUAGUUUUUAAAGUCUCAAAACCAAAUUAUUUCUUAAAUAUAUUCGCAAAAGAGUGUUUUCUUAAACCACUUUUUGGUAAAGACAGAAUAAGCGUGUUGGAGGCCUAUGGGUUGGUCUGGUUGUCCUUUCGUAGUCCCACAGCCACACGAGGAUGGUGAGCUCUUUGUCCCCAGCAGUGCUCAAACAAAGGCGAGUUCAUGUCUUGCCAGGGGCUGUGGCUCCCCUUCUCCCUUGCCCCAGACUUUCUUUGUGCAGCCUUGUUAUCUCCUUUUUUGUGGCUGGAAUGGGCAAAGGAACCAAAAUCAGUGUGGAAUAUUUCCAUUCCCUUGUAUCUGUUGCUGCAUCUCUGGCUGCCUUCAGAGAGUAGUAUAAAGCAUUACUGCCAAGCUCUUUUCAUUCUUAAUGUUUUGGCCACCUUGUCUGCUGAACAGUUAUUUUCUGUGCAGACAAAGCAGCACACCAAGUAUGAAAAUACAGAUGAGUAUAAAGUUACAAUUUUAUAUUGCAUCUUCUCAGUAUUGAACACUUCCUCUCUAGUGAUUUCAGAGUCCCAUUAAAGUUAAUGAGAGUUGAGACCUCUGAGCAUCUUUGCAAGUUCAGGCCAUUUCAAUGCACAACAGAAAGGAAAUGCAAAUAUUAAAAUACUCCCAGCAACCUCACUAGUCUUUGGUAAAGAACUCCAUUUGUCCUGGGAUAAAUCUGUGUAUGUGCCACCCAAGUCAGCCAGACUGAUGAGUCUGUGUAUGAAAAGUAUAAAUUAAUCCUGGUCUAAGCUCACAUGGAGCAGUUUACAAGGCAUCAGCAGUAAUUUGUUCUUUAUGUGAUCAAUUAAAAUGAAUAUGUGGCUCUUACCUUUUAUAUUUCUCAACACUAUAAAUAUUGCAGUGUAAGCACCAAGUGGUACAUUACUGAAAACCCUGGGUUUAAAGAGAGAGCUCCUUAUUGGGUUUUUUUUGCCAUGGUUCUAUGAUUUUUUUUCCCCAGACUCUACAGAACUGUGACCUUUUUAUUGUAAAAAGAAAAGAAGUACAAAUACCACCUGAAACGUCAAAAAGAAUACUUAUGUCUGAGUAAAUUGAAGAGUUUGUUUAUGUUAUUAAAAUAUUUUUCAUUCAUUGGUGUUUCUUAUUGAUGUCUAUUAAUUAUCCUGAAAACAUCCCCUUACUAGGGGCUAAUUAUCUAUGUGUACAGUGUGGUCUACAUUGGAGCAGGAAGGAUUCUGAAGCCACACUUCAGCCAUUAAAGGGGAAAAAGUGCAUCUCAGGACUAAUGUUAACACAGGCAGAGAUUUGCAUCAUUUCCUCUAAACUGAAAAGUCAUUUUUUCAAGAAAACUUACCGGGAAAAUUACUUUAAAAACCCCCAACAAAACAGCAAAAGAUAUGUUAAAAUAACAGUACAAUGGGAGUCUCAGUGCAGCCUUAAUUGUAGUUUGUUAUGAGUAUCAGUUAGUCUUACACCAUUCAAAAUAUUACAAGCUUAAAUUAACAUUUUAUUGUUAUUAUCACUUUAAAUAUAUUAAUACAGGAAGCACUUUUAAACGUUAAUACAUAGUAUUCAUAUAUUAUGUUUUAAUUUGCGUUAUUCAUUAUGAGAGCAUAUCGAGUAACCCAAAGCAUUUCCUAAGCAUUUUCCUAAUGUCAGCACUAGAAAACUUGUGGCAAUCUUAUUUAUCCAAGGAUCUUUGUGUUUCUUCUGGAAAAAAAAAAAAAAAAAGAGGUUUGAGCAAGACAUUUAAACUAAUGAAUCAAAAUCAGAUAUGUGCUCAUUAUUGGCUGAUUAUUACUCCAUCUGCUCGGCGCUAACGUGAAAAUCAAUUACGGAGUCUCCUCCCGCUGGCAGCGUGCGCUGGGCUGGGGCACAGAGCCCCACACCCGCCCCGUGCCCCUGCCAGGCCUCUGCAUCAGGGUAAUGGUGGCACAGUGGGGACAGGAAACCGAGCUAAUGAACUCGUGUAAUCAGCUAAAAUCACUGCACAAUGGCAAACAUGCAGUUAACAGAGGUCACUGUUUUGUUGUGUCACACCACUAAUCUAGAAAACAUAUCCGAGGGGGUUUCUUCCCUUUGCACAUCCCUCAUGUUUGCAUAAAAAGAAAAAAAAAAAAGCUGUGUCUUUAAUUCCAAACACAAUGUACCAACAUUUGGUUUAACAUCAGAAGUGCUUAAAAAAUACCAUACAAGUGCUAUCUGGGGAGAUUUCUUUCUCUGGUAUGAAUCAUGUCUUUAAUUUAGUCAGUUACUUUCUAUUUAUGUCAAGUCUAUUAAUAUCACAACACCUGCAGUUGUCUUGAUCCAGAAGAAAAUGGACUUCUGCAAACAAAAUCAAAAUCUUUACAUUGUAGUUUUCUUCAAAAAGUAAUGAUAAUGAACUCUGUUUGUUUUAAAUAUUGGUACAUUUUUAAACUAGCACAUACAAUAAUGCCCCUGGGUAUUUUCUUAACCCUACAGAGAAAUGCUUUGUAUUUUUAUAAAUACAGUAGCUGUAGUUCUCUCUCAGGCACACAGUCAUGUUGGAAAUAAACUGCUGAAAUACAUAGUGAGGGAUUAUGGAAAUAUUUGGUUUAUAAUUUAGAUCUCACAAAACUAUGAAAAUUAAUUAUGUGUUUGUUUUAUGGACAGAAAAAAUAACAUUUAAGACAAUUACAUGAUUCACAAGAAAUCAAGCUUUUACAGAUUUUUUUUUUUUGAGUCAGUUGUGAAGCUCUACUCUUCUAUAAUCUUGGUUAAGAAAGGGAAAUGCAUCAGGAUCGAAUCACAAGUAGGAAAUUAUCCUUUCAGGACUGACAGGCUGUACAGGAGCCCCUGAUGAUCUGAGUGCCAUCCUCGGGUGGUGGGGAAUAGGAUCCUGAGGACCACUCAGAAAACCCCUAUUUAAGACCUUUGCAAGCCUGCAGUUAUUCUGUGCAGGCUCAGCAGUAAGAAAGUAAGUCCAAAACAGAAAGCAGUGUAAUCUUUAUUUCUCCUAAAAUCAGUGGAAAGCAUCCCUUAUUUUCAGUUUUAGAGGACUGGAGGGAAAAAAACCCCACAAGAACAACAACAACAACAAACUACCCAACUCCUGAAGCCAGACUGUGAAUUAGCAUCUCAUUUUCUAGUGGGCACCACUGGGUACAUUUAACUUCGUUAGUACUGUUUGUGCUUGUGUUACCCUAAAACUUAAUAAAAUCUGGAAGAUGUGUGAAAGCA
Long non-coding RNA from Corvus hawaiiensis (hawaiian crow), 6385 nucleotides. RefSeq lists it as uncharacterized. Lineage: Eukaryota; Metazoa; Chordata; Aves; Passeriformes; Corvidae. The record is from RefSeq and is a predicted model, not a curated record. The transcript is spliced from 12 exons.